CGGGGAUCGGACUCAAGGCGGGUCGCCUGUUUUGGAAACAGGACAUUCAGGCAGGUUCAAUUCCUGCAUCCCCGACCA
This 78-nucleotide transfer RNA is filed under the name Spirochaetota bacterium. Its description in RNAcentral is "Spirochaetes bacterium tRNA-Pro". It matches the Rfam family "tRNA". From Rfam's summary of the family: Transfer RNA (tRNA) molecules are approximately 80 nucleotides in length. Their secondary structure includes four short double-helical elements and three loops (D, anti-codon, and T loops). The record is from RNAcentral. Lineage: Bacteria; Pseudomonadati; Spirochaetota.